AAGUCGAACGAAGUAGCAAUACUUAGUGGCAGACGGGUGAGUAACAUGUGGGUAUCUUCCCUUUGGCCUGGAAUAACACGAGGAAACUUGUGCUAAUACCGGAUAAGUCUUUACGGAGAAAGCUUUAUGCACCAUUGGAUGAGCCCGCACUUGAUUAGUUUGUUGGUAGGGUAAUGGCCUACCAAGACUGUGAUCAAUAGCUGAUUUGAGAGGAUGAUCAGCCACAUUGGGACUGAGACACGGCCCAAACUCCUACGGGAGGCAGCAGUGGGGAACCUUGCACAAUGGAGGAAACUCUGGUGCAGCGAUGCCGCGUGAGUGAAGAAGGCCCUUGGGUUGUAAAGCUCUUUCGUCGGGAAGAAAAUGACUGUACCCGAAUAAGAAGGUCCGGCUAACUUCGUGCCAGCAGCCGCGGUAAUACGAAGGGACCUAGCGUAGUUCGGAAUUACUGGGCUUAAAGAGUUCGUAGGUUGUUGAAAAAGUUGGUGGUGAAAUCCCAGAGCUUAACUCUGGAACUGCCAUCAAAACUUUUCAGCUAGAGUUUGAUAGAGGAAAGCAGAUUUUCUAGUGUAGAGG
Molecule: ribosomal RNA, 576 nt
Filed under: uncultured marine bacterium
Lineage: Bacteria
Description: bacterial SSU rRNA
Rfam family: Bacterial small subunit ribosomal RNA
Source: RNAcentral